This 228-nucleotide long non-coding RNA is filed under the name Elaeis guineensis (African oil palm). RNAcentral describes it as "long non-coding RNA (EGUI_LNC018292)". The record is from RNAcentral. Lineage: Eukaryota; Viridiplantae; Streptophyta; Magnoliopsida; Arecales; Arecaceae.
CCUGAAUUCACUGGACAAAGCUAACUUCGAGAAGGUUUUCAGCACCCCUAACUCUAUUUAAGAUGCCCUCCACCCUCUUCCCAUCUCAUACUGAAGUUCAUAGAUUUGGCCGUCAAUUCACCAAGUUUUAUCACGAGUAGUUUCUUUACUGCCAAAGCUAAUCAUCGUCGAAAAAAUGAGGUAAGGCCCUCUUGACUUUUUAAAUAUCUUCAACCCAUCCUCCCUAGC